UCCCCUCGCGACUCCCGCGGCUCGGGGGAGAGCUGCACGCGACCCAGGUGCUGGCCUCUGAGCGGGUCGGCUCGGAGACUACAGGAUCAGGAGGAGGUUGGAGGUGAAGCGUCUGGAAUCCGGUAAAGAUGGACACCUGCAUGAGGGAAGGAAUAUGUGAGCAGCUUCCAUUUCCCUUCCAUGGUCUUCUCAGCUUCCUCCAACAGUAGAUUGUUCAGCCUCCCUAAAGCAGGAGAAGAGGAAGGGGAAGAAAGGUAAGAGACAGUAAAGGUCUUACUUAACUGGUAUUGUUAUAAUCAGUGUUUGGUUCUCUCCUGCCUUCAUGGAUAGUCAAAGCUGACCCUUUUUCUUAUUGUUAGGUGUUUUUCCGGGUUUCUAAGCAAAUACCUUGCUGCAGAUCUUCAACUGCAGGGGAGGGCAUGUUGCCAGAACAUCCUGUUUACAGAGGCCACUUAAAAUCCUUACGUUAACCCUAGGCAUACUGUGGUCAUCCUUUUCUGGUGGGUCACAUUGGCCCUCCAGAAGUUCUCUAGAACAGGAUCCAAGAUCUCCUGAGGUCAGCUCACUCCGUAUGGUCCAUAUCCUGUCACCACGUGGGAAUUAAGUUCCUAUCUCUGUUUCUCCUAAAUGGCAGGAAAAAAGGUAAAGUUCUCCUAAGAACUCUCUUAACACACUCCCCUUUGGAUCUUAGAGGGACUGGGAUGGAUCGGGUCAACUUGCUUGGUUUGAUUAGAGGAGGAAACACCCACCUCCUUUCCUCAGGGUGCUGAGAACACACCCACAGCUCUUCCCAAAAAUAGUCUCACCUCACAAAAAGUCCUCUUCCUCAGCCUCCCCAGCCUCUCACAUGUCCUUGAGGUAUGUUGAACUGUAGCAAAAAUUGUUUAUAGCCAGUUUCUUUUUUUUAAUUUUAAUUUUUUAAAAUAUGGUCAGCUGGGCGCAGUGGCUG
RNAcentral lists this long non-coding RNA (949 nucleotides) under Homo sapiens (human). RNAcentral's name for it is "HSALNT0259183". The record is from RNAcentral. Lineage: Eukaryota; Metazoa; Chordata; Mammalia; Primates; Hominidae.